RNAcentral lists this long non-coding RNA (210 nucleotides) under Mytilus galloprovincialis (Mediterranean mussel). The record is from RNAcentral. Lineage: Eukaryota; Metazoa; Mollusca; Bivalvia; Mytilida; Mytilidae.
GGGCGGACGGAAGGACGGGCGGCCAGACGGAAUGACGGGCGGACAGACAUACAGGGGUAGUUGAGGGGGGCAUAGAAAAUAUAGCUUCAAUUACAUCUUUUAUUGCGUCAACUUGUAGCCAGUAACCCUGAUGAUUUCUAUUUUUAAGUUUUUACCAUUUUUGCGUUCAUGUACUUACAAUGUAUUUUUGUCUGAAUUAGUAAUUGUUUU